UCGGGAAUUUUGGGCAAUGGGCGAAAGCCUGACCCAGCAACGCCGCGUGAGGGAUGAAGUAUUUCGGUAUGUAAACCUCGAAAGAAUGGGAAGAAUAAAUGACGGUACCAUUUAUAAGCUCCGGCUAACUACGUGCCAGCAGCCGCGGUAAUACGUAGGGAGCAAGCGUUGUUCGGAUUUACUGGGCGUAAAGGGCGCGUAGGCGGCGCGGUAAGUCACUUGUGAAAUCUCUGAGCUUAACUCAGAACGGCCAAGUGAUACUGCUGUGCUAGAGUGCGGAAGAGGCAACCGGAAUUCUUGGUGUAGCGGUGAAAGGCGUAGAUAGCAAGAGGAACACCUGAGGCGAAGGCGGGUUGCUGGGCCGACACUGACGCUGAUGCGCGAAAGCCA
This 390-nucleotide ribosomal RNA is filed under the name uncultured bacterium. RNAcentral's name for it is "bacterial SSU rRNA". It matches the Rfam family "Bacterial small subunit ribosomal RNA", at positions 355 to 762 of the family's 1533-position model. The record is from RNAcentral.